This is a small nuclear RNA of Suricata suricatta (meerkat), 107 nucleotides long. The record is from Ensembl. NCBI's taxonomy places the organism in Eukaryota, Metazoa, Chordata, Mammalia, Carnivora, Herpestidae.
AUGCUCACUUUGGCAGUACAUAUACUAAAACUGGAAUGAUACAGUGAACUUUAGCAUGGCAUAUGCGCCAAGAUGCCACACAAAUUCAUGGAGCAUUCCGUAUUAAA